Molecule: long non-coding RNA, 550 nt
Organism: Haliotis rubra (blacklip abalone)
Lineage: Eukaryota; Metazoa; Mollusca; Gastropoda; Lepetellida; Haliotidae
Exons: 3
Source: RefSeq, a predicted model, not a curated record
GUUAUUUUCGGGAUGCCUCUGUGGUAUCUCCAACCUGAUUGUCCCACUCUGUGACGGUCCCGCCACUCUCCAUAUCAGCAGCGCUGUAAAUGGACUGGCUAUAGGAGGUUGGAUGGGCGUUUUAAUGCUAGUGGCUGUGGAACUGUUUGGUGUUAAUAAUUUGUCAAGAGUAUUUGGCAUGAACAUGAUGUGUGAAGGAGUGGGGUCAUUGGUAGGACCACCAUUACAAAGUUACCUAGCAACGAUAUUUGGGAAGGAAACCCCAUUUUACACCGCUGGAAUAGCUCUCGCCGUGUCAACAAGUUGUAUUAUUGUAUCGAUAAUACAAACGCGGAAGACAUCUUGUACUUUAGGAGGGCUACCUACAGAGACUGUGACUGCUGGUGUCGAUAACGUGGGUUUCAGUCCAGACAAACCUACGUACUGAAGUGACGAUACCUUCAGUGUAUAUUGGUGUGUGGUGAAUCUCUGUGCCGUUGCAUGUAGCGGCCUAAGCUAAAAAAAUUAAACACAUCCGUGAUGUUGCCUCGAUAAAGAAUACAACAUAUAA